CUCUGUUGACCCUGAAAUAAGCUGUAGAAACCAGUCAAAACUGCUCGUUCUUCCUCUUGUGAUGCGAGACAUUUCUGUUCUCUUCGACAUGAAUUUGUUGCCCAAAGGUCAAGUGGCAAGAUGAGUCUGCAGAUGCUCAAGAUUAUGAAUAGGGAGCAGAUGAGUUUUAGCACUGGUAUGAGUUGUGGCUAAAAUAAAGAAGCCCGUUUGGAUGCGGAAAGAAUGGCUGCUCCACGAAAGUCGAUUUCCUAGGAGAUAUCUGUGUUAAUUAUUGAUAGCAUCUCGCUGGCUGGCUGGUUCUGGUGAGCGAAGAUGCAUGCUGUUUGUGUACCCUCCAUACCUUGGUGAUUGGAAGAUCUUUAACAAGACUUUGAUCUUCAUCUUUAAAUCUAACAAACCAGUCACCUUUCUCUCCCACAUGGACAUGGCACACACUAGUCACCACACCUAACCUCUAGAUCUAGCAAACCAAUCACCUCUCUGACUCUUUCAUUCGCACCUGGCCUUAAAUUUUGUCACACCAGGUAUAAUUUUUUUGUUUUUUGUCAAUCUCUGUUUUUAUUUUUUUAACAUAUGCUUUGUGUAUUUUCAUUUACAUUGAUGUUAAUGCUUGCUGUAAAAAUUUGAGACUUGAGAGGUCAGUGGUGGUUUUUUGAGAUUUGCUUA
Long non-coding RNA from Populus euphratica (Euphrates poplar), 666 nucleotides. RefSeq lists it as uncharacterized. Lineage: Eukaryota; Viridiplantae; Streptophyta; Magnoliopsida; Malpighiales; Salicaceae. The record is from RefSeq and is a predicted model, not a curated record. The transcript has 2 exons.